RNAcentral lists this unclassified non-coding RNA (223 nucleotides) under Hevea brasiliensis (rubber tree). The record is from RNAcentral. Lineage: Eukaryota; Viridiplantae; Streptophyta; Magnoliopsida; Malpighiales; Euphorbiaceae.
GAAAUUUAUCCCAUAAAUGAAAUAAUUUCAUAUCUAUGAACCUUGUUAUUUGGUUUGAAUGCUUUCAAAUAUUAAUCAAAUGACAUACUUUCUCUUUCUUGUUCCCUUGUCACAAGUUGGAGAAGUCUUUAUAACAUUCACAUUUCAUUUUCCAACGGAUUACUUAAAUUUAUGCAACAAGAAAAUAACUAUCACCAAAUAAUAAAUAAAAAAAAUAUUUUCU